AGUCAUAUGCUUGUUUAAAGGAUUAAGCCAUGCAUGUCUAAGUUCAGCUAAAAAUAAAGUGAAACUGCGAACGGCUCAUUAAAUCAGUUAAAAUUUAUAAAGAGUAGGUGUUUUAGAACCCCGCCAAACCCAGGAUAUCAUUUGGUAAAUCUAAUGUUAAUACGUGUAAUACAAAGGCACUUGUGCUUUUUUGAGAUACAUAUUAGCUUAAAAACCAAAAAAAGUUUUUACCUACUCUUCUGUAUGUAAAAAUUUUGUGCGUUUAAAACUAAAAAAAAAGUUGAUGAUGUUUUGAAUACUUGAUUGUUGCACUUUGUAAUAGUGUUUUUGAUACGUUUUUUAAGGUGUUUCUAUAAGCAUAAAUCCUUUUUAAUAAAAAUUAUCACAACCUUUUUACUUGCAAAACAAGAAAAAAAAAACACCAUCUAUUUUUUUUUGCUAGUUCUAAACGAGCUAUCGGAGGUUAAAUAUUUGUUUCGAUCGUAAUUUAGUUCUCUUUUGAAGCUAUUUUACGACGCUCUUUGUAAUUAUCUGCCCCAUCAACUUCGGAUGGUAGGAUAGAGGCUUACCAUGGUUUUAACGGGUAACGGGGAAUCAGGGUUCGAUUCCGGAGAGGGAGCCUGAGAAACGGCUACCACUUCCAAGGAAGGCAGCAGGCGCGCAAAUUACCCAAUGCAAAAUUUGUGAGGUAGCGACAAAAUAUAACGAUGGGGUCCGAACCAGGUCUCAUAAUCUUAAUGAAUAGUGUAUAAAUAACAUUGUAAGAAGCAACUAGAGGGCAAGCCUGGUGCCAGCAGCCGCGGUAAUUCCAGCUCUAGUAGCGUAUAUUUCUGGUACUGCAGUUAAAACGUUCGUCGUUGAUAUUUAUUUUUAAAAAUAAUCUACUUUCUUAGUUAAAAAAAAAAAAAAUCAAGCAAAAUGCAGCUCAAAAUUUCUUUGUUUUUUUGUAAAGUGUUUUUGAUUUUUAAUUUUUUUUCCCUCGAGUUAGUAGUAAAAAUUCUAGCUAUAAAAAAGUAACACCUUGUUUUCCUUCAAGGCCUGUAAAUAUGUUUAUUUUCUCAUUGUAACAAUUAGCUAUUUUACAAUUUGAAGGCAGGCAGGUUUACUUAAAUAGCUUUUGUUACAUAAAUUACCAUGAAUAAAUUAGAGUGAUCAAAGCAGGUGCAGCUAGUGCGCCUUUUAAGCAUACGCCACAUGGAAUAAUAAAAGAAGGUCAAAAGGUUUGUCUUCUUUUUUGGUUUUUUAAACCUUAUGACAAUGACUAUCAAGGGCGAUUCGGGGUACUUGUAUGGCAUGGCUAGCGGUGAAAUGUGAGGAUCCUUGCCCGACACACGAAUGCGAAAGCAAAUACCUGUUACGUCCCUGUUAAUCAUGAACGAAGGUUGGGGGAGUCAAAACGAUUAGAUACCGUUGUAGUCCCAACAGCAAACUAUGCCAACUGUCUCUUGGAAAUGAUCGCAAACUUUGACUUUUUCAGGGGGCUCCCGGGAAACCGUUAAGUGUACGGGUUCUGUGGGGAGUAUGGCCGCAAGGCUGAAACUUAAAGGAAUUGACGGAAGGGCACCACCAGGAGUGGAGCUUGCGGCUUAAUUCGACUCAACACGGGAAAACUUACCAGGUCCAGACAUUAGUAAGGAUUGACAGCAUGUAUAAAUCUUAAAGGAGCUUUCGUGAUUCUAUGGGUGGUGGUGCAUGGCCGUUCCCAGUUCGUGGAGUAAUCCGUCAGGUUAAUUCCGGUAACGAACAAGAUCUCAUCUGACUAAUAUUCAGGCAAUCUUCAUUGACUUGCACUUAGAAGGAAAAAUAGCAGAACUACAAUCUACGUGUUUACGCUAAAAUGAAUCAGGGGACUACAACAGGUCUGUGAUGCCCUUAGAUGCUCUGGGCCGCACGCGCGCUACAAUGGCUUGAACAAAAAGCUAUUUCCAAGUGAAAAAUGAGUUUAAAUUUAUAAACCAAAAUUGUUAAAAGUUUUUUGUUUUUCGUAUAGGGAAAAAAGCAAACAAAUUUUUAGCAGUUUUUAUUAUUGUAAAUUUUCUUAGAGUUUUUUAUUUUUUGUUUUGUCAAAAAAAAAAAAAAAGAAAAAAAAGAUUACACAAUAUAUAUAGUCAGCUUUGAAAAAGGCUGGCUAUAUGCGGCAGGUGUUUGCACGCUGAUUACGUGCGAAUAAAGCAAAAAUCUCCUUUCAAGCAGCUUAACCCACCUUGUCAGUAUGGCUGCUCUCACUUACUAUGACGUUGCAUCAAGACGUCUAAUCCUAUGUUAGCUAUUAAAAUUCUGCAAAGUUUUGUAAAAAAAACUUUUGUAUCUACGCUUUUAAAUCUGUGUUUUUUUUUAAGGCACGUUUUUAGAAAAGAUAUAUAUUGAAUUCACAAAGGUAACCUUUCUGCUUGUUUGUAAACAGUGCGCAGCAAGCAUUAAGCAGAUAAAAACAACCAAAACCCCCCCUCUAAUCUAAAAAAAAAUACCUCCCAAAAAAAAAUCCCUUUCCUGAAUUUCGAAAAUUUUGUAAUAUUCCUCUUUCUCGACAAAAAUGCGUUAUACCCCCGGAAGUUACUUUUGAUUUUGGUCGGCCCACUAUGCGAUCAAAUUCUUUUCCACCCCCCCCCCCUUUUUUGUAUGCGGCUAAAUAUUUUGGUUACUAUUCAAUAUGUAUGUCCCGCGGGAUUUUAAAAGCUAAUUUAGGAAUUCUGAAGUUGUAACGGCAUCUUAGGGGAGUUCUGGUCUGCUGAAAAGAGACGUUACUGUUUGAAAAUUAUUGUUUUCUUUGUGAACCCUCAAAGUACGCAAGGAAAACUUUACUCUAAUCAUUUAGAUUUCCUCUAUUUCUUUUUUUAAAAGUAAAUAGGCAACUUGCUGGCUACUGCUUUAGUUGGUAGCGUUGUAUUUUUUAAUACGUUUUUUGUGUUUUUUGAUUUUUCCUUUUUCUUUUCUUGACACAACACAAGUAUCUAAUUCUUUUUUUUUUUUGCAAAACGUAGAAACUUUUUUCUGUGUGUAUUUCUUUUGAAAUACGUGCAAAAAAUUUAGCGAAACUUGUUUUGCUUAUUGAUUAACAUGUUGUAAACUAUAGCAAAUUUUGGUUUCAUAAUUACUUGUUUUCAUGUAAAUGUUCCAUUAACGAAAGUUGAAAUUUUGUUUGACCUUUGAACCGUAAGGAGUUCUUAUCUAAGAUUUAAAUGCUUUGAUAACGCUAUUAGGGUUGCAUGUACGACUCUCUUAGAGGUUUCCCUUAGCUGCCUUACAAUGUAUAAUGUGUUUUAUAUGGUUCUUCGUACCAUUUGGUAAUUUUGCAAACCUAGUUUGUGAAUGCUGGGUGGAACCCAAAACCAAGAUAAGAUUUUUCCCAUUCUUUUCAAGUUUUGGGUGUUGAGCGGGAAUCUUGGAAAUCGAGUCUAGGUUGGAAUAACCGAGUGUAAUUCUCGGUUUGAACGUGGAAUUUCUAGUAAGUGCGAUUCAUCACAUCGCGCUGAAUACGUCCCUGCCCUUUGUACACACCGCCCGUCGCUACUGCCGAUGCACGUCUUAUAGAGGCAAUCAGAUUAUUUUUUUUAGAUUGUGAAUUUUAUUCCGUCUACCUUGACGCUUAUACAUGUAUUUGUAUUGUAAGCCGACUCAAGUUACCGCUUUUUUUAAAAGCAGAGUAGGAAAGCAAGAAGAUUGUCAAUGUUAGGCGCAUAGAGGAAGUAAAAGUCGUAACAAGGUUUCCGCAGGUUCACCUACGGAAACCUUGUUA
Molecule: ribosomal RNA, 3736 nt
Filed under: Asellaria ligiae
Lineage: Eukaryota; Fungi; Kickxellomycota; Asellariomycetes; Asellariales
Description: partial 18S ribosomal RNA
Rfam family: Eukaryotic small subunit ribosomal RNA
Source: RNAcentral